GCCCCGGUAGCCCAAUUUGGCAGCAGGCAAUGGAUUCAAAACCCAUACAGUGUCGGUUCGAGUCCGACCCGGGGCACCA
RNAcentral lists this transfer RNA (79 nucleotides) under Streptomyces sp. Ru87. RNAcentral's name for it is "tRNA-Leu". It matches the Rfam family "tRNA". From Rfam's summary of the family: Transfer RNA (tRNA) molecules are approximately 80 nucleotides in length. Their secondary structure includes four short double-helical elements and three loops (D, anti-codon, and T loops). Further hydrogen bonds mediate the characteristic L-shaped molecular structure. tRNAs have two regions of fundamental functional importance: the anti-codon, which is responsible for specific mRNA codon recognition, and the 3' end, to which the tRNAs corresponding amino acid is attached (by aminoacyl-tRNA synthetases). tRNAs cope with the degeneracy of the genetic code in two manners: having more than one tRNA (with a specific anti-codon) for a particular amino acid; and 'wobble' base-pairing, i.e. permitting non-standard base-pairing at the 3rd anti-codon position. The record is from RNAcentral. RNAcentral also lists the same sequence under 1 other name. Lineage: Bacteria; Bacillati; Actinomycetota; Actinomycetes; Kitasatosporales; Streptomycetaceae.